GGGCGCGUAGCUCAGGGGGAGAGCACUGUCUUCACACGGCAGGGCUCGCUGGUUCAAUCCCAGCCGCGCCCACCA
RNAcentral lists this transfer RNA (75 nucleotides) under Gammaproteobacteria bacterium. RNAcentral describes it as "tRNA-Val". It matches the Rfam family "tRNA". Rfam says of the family: Transfer RNA (tRNA) molecules are approximately 80 nucleotides in length. Their secondary structure includes four short double-helical elements and three loops (D, anti-codon, and T loops). Lineage: Bacteria; Pseudomonadati; Pseudomonadota; Gammaproteobacteria. The record is from RNAcentral.